This 561-nucleotide ribosomal RNA is filed under the name Pseudomonas aeruginosa. RNAcentral's name for it is "bacterial SSU rRNA". It matches the Rfam family "Bacterial small subunit ribosomal RNA", at positions 100 to 657 of the family's 1533-position model. Lineage: Bacteria; Pseudomonadati; Pseudomonadota; Gammaproteobacteria; Pseudomonadales; Pseudomonadaceae. The record is from RNAcentral.
UGACGGGUGGAUAAUGCCUAGGAAUCUGCCUGGUAGUGGGGGAUAACGUCCGGAAACGGGCGCUAAUACCGCAUACGUCCUGAGGGAGAAAGUGGGGGAUCUUCGGACCUCACGCUAUCAGAUGAGCCUAGGUCGGAUUAGCUAGUUGGUGGGGUAAAGGCCUACCAAGGCGACGAUCCGUAACUGGUCUGAGAGGAUGAUCAGUCACACUGGAACUGAGACACGGUCCAGACUCCUACGGGAGGCAGCAGUGGGGAAUAUUGGACAAUGGGCGAAAGCCUGAUCCAGCCAUGCCGCGUGUGUGAAGAAGGUCUUCGGAUUGUAAAGCACUUUAAGUUGGGAGGAAGGGCAGUAAGUUAAUACCUUGCUGUUUUGACGUUACCAACAGAAUAAGCACCGGCUAACUUCGUGCCAGCAGCCGCGGUAAUACGAAGGGUGCAAGCGUUAAUCGGAAUUACUGGGCGUAAAGCGCGCGUAGGUGGUUCAGCAAGUUGGAUGUGAAAUCCCCGGGCUCAACCUGGGAACUGCAUCCAAAACUACUGAGCUAGAGUACGGUAGAGG